GGUUAGCUCAGUUGGUUAGAGCGUGGUGCUAAUAGUUGCCCAAACACUAUAAAAACGCCAAGGUCGCGGGUUCGACCCCCGUACUGACCA
Molecule: non-coding RNA, 90 nt
Organism: Saxophila tyrrhenica
Lineage: Eukaryota; Fungi; Ascomycota; Dothideomycetes; Mycosphaerellales; Extremaceae
Source: the annotation of a RefSeq genome assembly